UUGUGUUCAAUCAUGAAGUUGCUUUAAUAAUCGUUUGAAUUUUCUUAUCAAUUUUUAUUUUCAGAAUCUUGAAAUGUUGAUUAGACUGACGACUUGUUUCCUCAAAUCUGUAGACGGCUGUGACGGAGAGAGAUGCAGAGCCGCCGCCAAUUCCAGAUCUAUCACUCCAUGAGAGGUGUUUUCAGGCUGCCUCUACCAGAAUCUACAUAUUUCUUCAGCGUAACAAGCACGCCACCGCCACCACCGAAUCUUGAGGGCCGUGACCGCCGAUGACGUAUUCCCCAUUGCAACAGCAGAGUGGGCGACGUAUUAUCCGCAACUGUCUUCCCCCGCUUGCUUCAGCCAUACAAGAAGCUCUACAACCAUCGUUCUGGUCGACCCGUCAUCGCUGCCGCCACUCUCUCGUCCUUGACUGGCAUCUUAGCCGCUGCCGAUGUGACCUUCUUCAUCGACGCUAUGCUAAUCAAAUGUUAGCUUCCGCAGAAAACGAGAAUCAGAUACAACACAGAAGCGCAGCAAGAGAGAGGAGAGAAGUUACAGAAG
This 543-nucleotide long non-coding RNA is filed under the name Brassica rapa (field mustard). Its description in RNAcentral is "long non-coding RNA (BRAP_LNC004283)". The record is from RNAcentral. Lineage: Eukaryota; Viridiplantae; Streptophyta; Magnoliopsida; Brassicales; Brassicaceae.